CCUACGGGAGGCUGCAGUGGGGAAUAUUGGACAAUGGGCGAAAGCCUGAUCCAGCCAUGCCGCGUGUGUGAAGAAGGCCUUCGGGUUGUAAAGCACUUUCAGUGGGGAAGAAAGCCUUGGGGCUAAUACCCUCGAGGAAGGACAUCACCCACAGAAGAAGCACCGGCUAACUCCGUGCCAGCAGCCGCGGUAAUACGGAGGGUGCGAGCGUUAAUCGGAAUUACUGGGCGUAAAGCGCGCGUAGGCGGUCUGAUAAGCCGGUUGUGAAAGCCCCGGGCUCAACCUGGGAACGGCAUCCGGAACUGUCAGGCUAGAGUGCAGGAGAGGAAGGUAGAAUUCCCGGUGUAGCGGUGACAUGCGUAGAGAUCGGGAGGAAUACCAGUGGCGAAGGCGGUCUUCUGGACUGACACUGACGCUGAGGUGCGAAAGCGUGGGUAGCAAACAGGAUUAGAUACCCUAGUAGUC
This 465-nucleotide ribosomal RNA is filed under the name Vreelandella stevensii. RNAcentral describes it as "partial 16S ribosomal RNA". It matches the Rfam family "Bacterial small subunit ribosomal RNA", at positions 338 to 795 of the family's 1533-position model. Lineage: Bacteria; Pseudomonadati; Pseudomonadota; Gammaproteobacteria; Oceanospirillales; Halomonadaceae. The record is from RNAcentral.